Oncorhynchus masou masou (cherry salmon) is the source of this 3759-nucleotide long non-coding RNA. RefSeq lists it as uncharacterized. Lineage: Eukaryota; Metazoa; Chordata; Actinopteri; Salmoniformes; Salmonidae. The transcript is spliced from 3 exons. The record is from RefSeq and is a predicted model, not a curated record.
GGAGGCGUUGCUGAGCAACUGAAUUUCUGCCUUUGCAGUAUGUCAGGCGUGUUUUUGCUGUGUGUGUGUGUCUAAUUUUUGGAAGCGUGUCAGUAUCGUAUAGUUGCAUGUCUGCAUGGUGGGUGGAAGUUCAAAAGUCAGUCUGUCUUUCUUUCACAGGAAGUGGAUGCGUGCAUGGUUAAACCACAUGACAAACACGUCUUAAACGUAACUUUCUCACCUCGUUAGCUCUUAUAUUUUGAUUUGAAUACCGGUAUAAAACUCGUUCUGUUGCUGAAUGUAAAACUCACUAUGCUCUCUUUUACAACCCCGUUGUAGCAAUCUGCCUCGGGAAUUUACAUAGUUAGUGUGAGAGCUGGCAAGCAACCAUUCAAAACAACCUAUUGCUAGGGUUACAACAGUACUCCAUAACUCCUUACUACCAUCCCCACUAAACAUUAACAAGGCAGGGGAGUUAUUUGUUCCUGGUGAAGUCUGGAGCAUCAUUUAAUGUCAAUCUAUAAAAUUAAAAUUACCUGGGAAAUAUAUAUCUGUUUGACGUGUUUUAAAAUAAAAAAAUACACAUUUUUAGUAGACCCCAACACACACACACACACACACACACACACACACACACACACACACACACACACACACACACACACACACACACACACACACACACACACACACACACACACACACACACACAGGAAACUGUUGAUCUAAAAAAAACAGCAACGUUGCAGUUCUUGACACACUCAAACCAGUGGGCCUGGCAACUACUACCAUACCCUAGUCAAAGGCACUUUGUCUUGCCCAUUCACCCUCUGAAUGGCAUAUAGACCCAAUACAUGUCUCAAUUGUCUCAAGGUUUAAAAAUCCUUCUUAAACCUGUCUUCUCCCCUUCAUCUACACUAAUUGAAGUGGAUUUAACAGGUGACAUCAAUAAGGGAUCAUAGCUUUCACCUGGUCAGUCUGGCAUGGAAAGACCAGAGCAAGUAAAAUCUUACUGCUGAAACAACAUUAAAUAGUCUCAACCAUAUUCCCACUUCUUGUUUUUUUUUUAUUAUGUUAUAGAGCAUGAAAAAUAGGAUGUUACCCAAUACCUGAAAGGCCACAGUCAGUCAAUCCCCACAACGUGCAGACUCCGCAAACAACUCACAAACAACAACUGUGGAUUAUUGCCACUGCAAACGCUCAGCAAGAUGCAGACUGGCUGCCAUGUAAUCCCAUAAUCAAUGCAACGAACAUACCUGUCUGUCUAAACAUAGCAUGACGAUAGAAAGCAAACACACAACCCUGUUUCUGCUUUGUGACAUACUGUAGGGGGCAAGUUGAGAAACCAGCAGAUGUGGUAGUGUAGACGGAUAGCUGCAGUAGCGCGUGAACACGCGGUAUUUCCCCGCUCCAUCAGACACUCUAUUGCUUGCCCUUAGUUUGUCUCGCCACGACGAUCGUCUUACUCGUUCUAGGUACAGACACAGGGUAUGUGUUUCAAAUGGCACCCUGUUCUCUCUAUAGUGCACUACUUGGACCAGGGACAGCUCUCACUGUGACUGUAGAUAACAGAUAAGCUGUUUCUAAUCUUAAGCGAUAUAUACAUGUACACUCACCGGCCAGUUUAUUAGGUCCGUCCAUCUAGUACCGAGUCGAACCUCCCUUUGCCACCAGAGCAGCAUGAAUAACUCUACCUACAUGUACAUAUUACCUCAAUUACCUCGACUAACACGGACACGUGGCUCACUGUCUGUAGGAGCGAACCGUUUUCGUGAAAGUGGUGCUGUACCUAAUAAACUGUCAGGUGAGUGUAUAUGCUAAUUUACAAUAUAAAUCAGGGAAUUGGAUUCUUCAUUCCAGUCUGAGUUCACACAGCUCCUAUCUUGAUUACAGUUUACAGUUUCUUUUUACCAGAGCACCAGUUUUCCAAAACAUAAUUUUUUUCUCAAAAUAGUAUUAUCAUUUGCUCAGAGCUUAAUCCUCUAUAUAUUUAUGUUCAAUAGAAUAUGGUAAACAGAUGUAGAAUAUGGUAAACAGAUGUAGAAUAUGGUAAACAGAUGUAGAAUAUGGUAAACAGAUGUAGAACAUGGUAAACAGAUGUAGAAUAUGGUAAACAGAUGUAGAACAUGGUAAACAGAUGUAGAAUAUGGUAAACAGAUGUAGAACAUGGUAAACAGAUUUAAACUAACAUCAAACAUCAUUACUCAUCCAUACUCUGUCAGAGCAGUUAAGAGAUUCUGAAUCAGUCAGGGAACUGUUUAAGUGCAUACCCUGCUAACCUGGGUUAUUUGUCACAACGGUGCCCCACACUGAAUCUUGGGAACACAGCAGAGAGAGGUUCUGACCCCACUAAGCCACCGUACCCAGAAUUAGCAGGGUGGAACUCUCAAUGGAAUAGAACUCUUAGAUCUCUCAAUUAGAAUCAGAAUGUUUAGAACUGGAACACAUUCUACUUCUAUGGGAGAACUCCUAGUCUUGAGAGGAGCAGAGGGGACUGAGGGACUGGGGUUUGUGCCAACUGGCCCAGUCUGAAUGGAACACAGUAGAGCCUAAAGGACAACACAGCUCAAAGAGAUUAGGUUAAUGCAGAACCUGUAUCAUAUGAUUUAGGUCCAUUGUCCCUCUGCUCUGUCUACAUAGCUGUGAGUGUCUCUAUUUCCUUCUCUGUGUCUGCAUGGUGGCCUACAUUCACAAGACAAAUAUUUGGCAGAGUAAGAUAACUUGCUGAACGUCUGACACGGAUCUAUUAGGCUUUGUUUCACUGUAUCACGGUACUACAGUACAUGUAUUCAAGUCUCAUAGCCACACUUUGCUUUGAGACUGAAGCUGUAAGCUGGGAAGAGGCCAAAAUGUGGAUGGAUUGAUUUUCUCUUUUUCUUUCUUUCUCUCUCUCUCUCACUCGCUCUUUCUUUCUUUCUUUCUUUCUUUCUUUCUUUCUUUCUUUCUUUCUUUCUUUCUUUCUUUCUUUCUUUCUCUCUUUUUUCCUCUCUCUCUCUCUUUUUCUUUCGUUCUCUCUCUUUCUUUCUUUCUUUCUUUCUUUCUUUCUCUCUCUCUCUCUCUCUCUCUCUCUCUCUCUCUUUCUUUCUUUCUGUCUCUCUCUUUCUCUCUCUCUCUCUCUCUCUCUCUCUCUCUCUUUCUUUCUUUCUCUUUUCUUUCUCUUCUUUUCCUCUCUCUCUCUUCUUUUCCUCUCUCUCUCUUCUUUUCCUCUCUCUCUCUUCUUUCUGUCUCUCUCUUUCUCUCUCUCUCUCUCUCUCUCUCUCUCUCUCUCUUUCUUUCUUUCUCUUUUCUUUCUCUUCUUUUCCUCUCUCUCUCUUCUUUUCCUCUCUCUCUCUUCUCUCUCUCUCUCUCUUCUCUCUCUCUCUCUCUCUCUCUCUCUCUCUCUCUCUCUCUCUCUCUCUCUCUCUCUCUCUCUCUCUCUCUCUCAUGAGGGUUAUGGCUGUGAUGGAUACUGGCAGCCUGCAUGCAGCCUAUAGUGUGGGACCCUAGCGACCCCACAGCACAGCCAGUGAAUUGGUAUUUCUUCUGAGAGGAGCAGAGGUCCUCUGCCAACACCAAGAGCCUGACAGCUGCUGAACGGAUGGCAGAGGGCCGUCUUUCUCUCUGCACAGACACACCAAGGCUGACAUAGGGGAACUAGAGAUUGACAAUGCAACAGGUCGAGCAGGAUGGCUCGGAACUCCUCGUCCUCACACAGGUCUAAAGGCUGCAGCGUGGAGCGGCUGCCAUCCAUCAGUGUCUCUCAGGUCCAUCCUGGCCCCUCCCUCCAGCAGAAGCUCUGCA